RNAcentral lists this ribosomal RNA (142 nucleotides) under uncultured eukaryote. Its description in RNAcentral is "partial 18S ribosomal RNA". It matches the Rfam family "Eukaryotic small subunit ribosomal RNA", at positions 1299 to 1458 of the family's 1831-position model. The record is from RNAcentral.
UGGUGGAGUGAUUUGUCUGGUUAAUUCCGUUAACGAACGAGACCUCAGCCUACUAAAUAGCAAGGUCUUCCUUGCCAGGAAGACCUCUUGCUUCUUAGAGGGACUUGCAGUGACUAGCUGCAGGAAGUUUGAGGCAAUAACA